This 1414-nucleotide ribosomal RNA is filed under the name uncultured bacterium. Its description in RNAcentral is "bacterial SSU rRNA". It matches the Rfam family "Bacterial small subunit ribosomal RNA". The record is from RNAcentral.
AGAGUUUGAUCAUGGCUCAGAACGAACGCUGGCGGCAGGCUUAACACAUGCAAGUCGAACGAUAUAGUGGCAGACGGGUGAGUAACGCGUGGAAACGUGCCUUUCACUACGGAAUAGCUUUUGGAAACGAAAGGUAAUACCGUAUACGCCCUCCGGGGGAAAGAUUUAUCGGUGAAAGAUCGGUCCGCGUUAGAUUAGCUAGUUGGUGAGGUAAGAGCUCACCAAGGCGACGAUCUAUAGCUGGUCUGAGAGGAUGAUCAGCCACACUGGGACUGAGACACGGCCCAGACUCCUACGGGAGGCAGCAGUGGGGAAUAUUGCACAAUGGGCGCAAGCCUGAUGCAGCCAUGCCGCGUGAAUGAUGAAGGCCUUAGGGUUGUAAAAUUCUUUCGCUAGGGAUGAUAAUGACAGUACCUAGUAAAGAAGCCCCGGCUAACUUCGUGCCAGCAGCCGCGGUAAUACGAAGGGGGCUAGCGUUGUUCGGAAUUACUGGGCGUAAAGCGCACGUAGGCGGACUUUUAAGUCAGAUGUGAAAUCCCAAGGCUCAACCUUGGAACUGCAUUUGAAACUGGGAGUCUAGAGAUCAGGAGAGGUUAGUGGAAUACCGAGUGUAGAGGUGAAAUUCGUAGAAUAUUCGGUGGAACACAGUGGCGAGGCGACUAACUGGACUGAUACUGACGCUGAGGUGCGAAAGUGUGGGGAGCAAACAGGAUUAGAUACCCUGGUAGUCCACACCGUAAACGAUGAGAGCUAGUUGUCUGCAGGCAUGCCUGUAGGUGACGCAGCUAACGCAUUAAGCUCUCCGCCUGGGGAGUACGGCCGCAAGGUUAAAACUCAAAGAAAUUGACGGGGGCCCGCACAAGCGGUGGAGCAUGUGGUUUAAUUCGAAGCAACGCGCAGAACCUUACCUACGCUUGACAUGCCUGGACGACUCCGAGAGAUCGGUUUCUCCCUUCGGGGCCAGUGCACAGGUGCUGCAUGGCUGUCGUCAGCUCGUGUCGUGAGAUGUUGGGUUAAGUCCCGCAACGAGCGCAACCCUCAUCCUUAGUUGCCAUCACGUUUGGGUGGGCACUCUAGGGAAACUGCCGGUGCUAAGCCGGAGGAAGGCGGGGAUGACGUCAAGUCCUCAUGGCCCUUACGCGUAGGGCUACACACGUGCUACAAUGGCAGUGACAAUGGGAUAAUCCCCAAAAGCUGUCUCAGUUCGGAUUGUCGGCUGCAACUCGCCGGCAUGAAGUUGGAAUCGCUAGUAAUCGUGGAUCAGCAUGCCACGGUGAAUACGUUCCCGGGCCUUGUACACACCGCCCGUCACACCAUGGGAGUUGGAUCUACCCGAAGAUUGUGAGCUAACUUCGGAGGCAGCAAGCCACGGUAGGUUCAGCGACUGGGGUGAAGUCGUAACAAGGUAGCCGUA